RNAcentral lists this ribosomal RNA (2930 nucleotides) under Bacillus sp. FDAARGOS_527. Its description in RNAcentral is "23S ribosomal RNA". It matches the Rfam family "Bacterial large subunit ribosomal RNA". Lineage: Bacteria; Bacillati; Bacillota; Bacilli; Caryophanales; Bacillaceae. The record is from RNAcentral.
UUUGGUUAAGUUAGAAAGGGCGCACGGUGGAUGCCUUGACACUAGGAGUCGAUGAAGGACGGGACUAACGCCGAUAUGCUUCGGGGAGCUGUAAGUAAGCUUUGAUCCGAAGAUUUCCGAAUGGGGAAACCCACCAUACGUAAUGGUAUGGUAUCCUUAUCUGAAUACAUAGGGUAAGGAAGACAGACCCAGGGAACUGAAACAUCUAAGUACCUGGAGGAAGAGAAAGCAAAUGCGAUUUCCUGAGUAGCGGCGAGCGAAACGGAACAUAGCCCAAACCAAGAGGCUUGCCUCUUGGGGUUGUAGGACAUUCUAUACGGAGUUACAAAGGAACGAGGUAGACGAAGCGACCUGGAAAGGUCCGUCGUAGAGGGUAACAACCCCGUAGUCGAAACUUCGUUCUCUCUUGAAUGUAUCCUGAGUACGGCGGAACACGUGAAAUUCCGUCGGAAUCUGGGAGGACCAUCUCCCAAGGCUAAAUACUCCCUAGUGAUCGAUAGUGAACCAGUACCGUGAGGGAAAGGUGAAAAGCACCCCGGAAGGGGAGUGAAAGAGAUCCUGAAACCGUGUGCCUACAAAUAGUCAGAGCCCGUUAACGGGUGAUGGCGUGCCUUUUGUAGAAUGAACCGGCGAGUUACGAUCCCGUGCGAGGUUAAGCUGAAGAGGCGGAGCCGCAGCGAAAGCGAGUCUGAAUAGGGCGUUUAGUACGUGGUCGUAGACCCGAAACCAGGUGAUCUACCCAUGUCCAGGGUGAAGUUCAGGUAACACUGAAUGGAGGCCCGAACCCACGCACGUUGAAAAGUGCGGGGAUGAGGUGUGGGUAGCGGAGAAAUUCCAAUCGAACCUGGAGAUAGCUGGUUCUCCCCGAAAUAGCUUUAGGGCUAGCCUUAAGUGUAAGAGUCUUGGAGGUAGAGCACUGAUUGGACUAGGGGUCCUCAUCGGAUUACCGAAUUCAGUCAAACUCCGAAUGCCAAUGACUUAUCCUUAGGAGUCAGACUGCGAGUGAUAAGAUCCGUAGUCAAAAGGGAAACAGCCCAGACCGCCAGCUAAGGUCCCAAAGUGUGUAUUAAGUGGAAAAGGAUGUGGAGUUGCUUAGACAACUAGGAUGUUGGCUUAGAAGCAGCCACCAUUUAAAGAGUGCGUAAUAGCUCACUAGUCGAGUGACUCUGCGCCGAAAAUGUACCGGGGCUAAAUACACCACCGAAGCUGCGGAUUGAUACCGAAUGGUAUCAGUGGUAGGGGAGCGUUCUAAGGACAGUGAAGUCAGACCGGAAGGACUGGUGGAGUGCUUAGAAGUGAGAAUGCCGGUAUGAGUAGCGAAAGACGGGUGAGAAUCCCGUCCACCGAAUGCCUAAGGUUUCCUGAGGAAGGCUCGUCCGCUCAGGGUUAGUCAGGACCUAAGCCGAGGCCGACAGGCGUAGGCGAUGGACAACAGGUUGAUAUUCCUGUACCACCUCUUUAUCGUUUGAGCAAUGGAGGGACGCAGAAGGAUAGAAGAAGCGUGCGAUUGGUUGUGCACGUCCAAGCAGUUAGGCUGAUAAGUAGGCAAAUCCGCUUAUCGUAAAGGCUGAGCUGUGAUGGGGAAGCUCCUUAUGGAGCGAAGUCUUUGAUUCCCCGCUGCCAAGAAAAGCUUCUAGCGAGAUAAAAGGUGCCUGUACCGCAAACCGACACAGGUAGGCGAGGAGAGAAUCCUAAGGUGUGCGAGAGAACUCUGGUUAAGGAACUCGGCAAAAUGACCCCGUAACUUCGGGAGAAGGGGUGCUUUCUUAACGGAAAGCCGCAGUGAAUAGGCCCAAGCGACUGUUUAGCAAAAACACAGCUCUCUGCGAAGCCGUAAGGCGAAGUAUAGGGGGUGACACCUGCCCGGUGCUGGAAGGUUAAGGAGAGGGGUUAGCGUAAGCGAAGCUCUGAACUGAAGCCCCAGUAAACGGCGGCCGUAACUAUAACGGUCCUAAGGUAGCGAAAUUCCUUGUCGGGUAAGUUCCGACCCGCACGAAAGGUGUAACGAUUUGGGCACUGUCUCAACCAGAGACUCGGUGAAAUUAUAGUACCUGUGAAGAUGCAGGUUACCCGCGACAGGACGGAAAGACCCCGUGGAGCUUUACUGUAGCCUGAUAUUGAAUUUUGGUACAGUUUGUACAGGAUAGGCGGGAGCCUUUGAAACCGGAGCGCUAGCUUCGGUGGAGGCGCUGGUGGGAUACCGCCCUGACUGUAUUGAAAUUCUAACCUACGGGUCUUAUCGACCCGGGAGACAGUGUCAGGUGGGCAGUUUGACUGGGGCGGUCGCCUCCUAAAAUGUAACGGAGGCGCCCAAAGGUUCCCUCAGAAUGGUUGGAAAUCAUUCGUAGAGUGCAAAGGCAUAAGGGAGCUUGACUGCGAGACCUACAAGUCGAGCAGGGACGAAAGUCGGGCUUAGUGAUCCGGUGGUUCCGCAUGGAAGGGCCAUCGCUCAACGGAUAAAAGCUACCCCGGGGAUAACAGGCUUAUCUCCCCCAAGAGUCCACAUCGACGGGGAGGUUUGGCACCUCGAUGUCGGCUCAUCGCAUCCUGGGGCUGUAGUCGGUCCCAAGGGUUGGGCUGUUCGCCCAUUAAAGCGGUACGCGAGCUGGGUUCAGAACGUCGUGAGACAGUUCGGUCCCUAUCCGUCGUGGGCGUAGGAAAUUUGAGAGGAGCUGUCCUUAGUACGAGAGGACCGGGAUGGACGCACCGCUGGUGUACCAGUUGUUCUGCCAAGGGCAUAGCUGGGUAGCUAUGUGCGGAAGGGAUAAGUGCUGAAAGCAUCUAAGCAUGAAGCCCCCCUCAAGAUGAGAUUUCCCAUAGCGUAAGCUAGUAAGAUCCCUGAAAGAUGAUCAGGUUGAUAGGUUCGAGGUGGAAUCAUGGUGACAUGUGGAGCUGACGAAUACUAAUAGAUCGAGGACUUAACCAUAUAA